CCUACGGGCGGCUGCAGUGGGGAAUAUUGCACAAUGGGCGCAAGCCUGAUGCAGCCAUGCCGCGUGUGUGAAGAAGGCCUUCGGGUUGUAAAGCACUUUCAGCGGGGAGGAAGGCGUUAAGGUUAAUAACCUUGGCGAUUGACGUUACCCGCAGAAGAAGCACCGGCUAACUCCGUGCCAGCAGCCGCGGUAAUACGGAGGGGUGCAAGCGUUAAUCGGAAUUACUGGGCGUAAAGCGCACGCAGGCGGUCUGUCAAGUCGGAUGUGAAAUCCCCGGGCUCAACCUGGGAACUGCAUUCGAAACUGGCAGGCUAGAGUCUUGUAGAGGGGGGUAGAAUUCCAGGUGUAGCGGUGAAAUGCGUAGAGAUCUGGAGGAAUACCGGUGGCGAAGGCGGCCCCCUGGACAAAGACUGACGCGCAGGUGCGAAAGCGUGGGGAGCAAACAGGAUUAGAUACCCCGGUAGUC
Molecule: ribosomal RNA, 466 nt
Filed under: uncultured Klebsiella sp.
Lineage: Bacteria; Pseudomonadati; Pseudomonadota; Gammaproteobacteria; Enterobacterales; Enterobacteriaceae
Description: bacterial SSU rRNA
Rfam family: Bacterial small subunit ribosomal RNA
Source: RNAcentral